RNAcentral lists this ribosomal RNA (792 nucleotides) under uncultured bacterium. Its description in RNAcentral is "bacterial SSU rRNA". It matches the Rfam family "Bacterial small subunit ribosomal RNA", at positions 8 to 796 of the family's 1533-position model. The record is from RNAcentral.
AGAGUUUGAUCCUGGCUCAGAACGAACGCUGGCGGCGUGCUUAACACAUGCAAGUCGCGUGCGCAGUUUCCGUAGCAAUACGGGGAUGGGCGCACGGCGCACGGGUGCGUAACACGUGGGCAAUCUGCCCUCCGAUGGGGAAUACCCCCGCGAAAGCGGGACUAAUUCCGCAUAACAUUCCUUGGAUUAACUUUCGAGGAUUCAAAGCAGCAAUGCGUCGGAGGAGGAGCCCGCGCCCGAUUAGCUAGUUGGUGAGGUAACGGCUCACCAAGGCAAUGAUCGGUAGCUGGUCUGAGAGGAUGGCCAGCCACACUGGAACUGAGACACGGUCCAGACUCCUACGGGAGGCAGCAGUGGGGAAUCUUGCACAAUGGGCGAAAGCCUGAUGCAGCGACGCCGCGUGGGGGAUGAAGCUUUUCGGAGUGUAAACCCCUUUCGACUGGGACGAAUGCCUCGCAAGAGGAGUGACGGUACCAGUAUAAGAAGCCCCGGCUAACUACGUGCCAGCAGCCGCGGUAAGACGUAGGGGGCCAGCGUUGUUCGGAAUUACUGGGUGUAAAGGGUUCGUAGGCGGUGUGGCAAGUCGGGAGUGAAAUCUCUGGGCUCAACCCAGAGACUGCUUCCGAAACUGCUGUGCUUGAGUGUGAGAGAGGCUCGUGGAAUUGCAGGUGUAGCGGUGAAAUGCGUAGAUAUCUGCAGGAACACCCGUGGCGAAAGCGGCGAGCUGGAUCACUACUGACGCUGAGGAACGAAAGCUAGGGGAGCAAACAGGAUUAGAUACCCCCGUAGUCC